CCUACGGGCGGCAGCAGUGGGGAAUAUUGCACAAUGGGGGAAACCCUGAUGCAGCGACGCCGCGUGAAGGAUGAAGUAUUUCGGUAUGUAAACUUCCAUUAGCAGGGAAGAAAAUGACGGUACCUGACGAAUAAGCCACGGCUAACUACGUGACAGCAGCCGCGGCAAUACGUAGGUGGCAAGCGUUGUCCGGAUUUACUGGGGGUAAAGGGCGUGUAGGCGGGUUGACAAGUCUGAUGUGAAAUGCUGAGGCUUAACCGGAGCACUGCAUUUGAGACUGUGGGUCUUGAGUACUGGAGAGGCAGACGGAAUUCCUGGUGUAGCGGUGAAAUGCGUAGAUAUUGAGAGGAACACCAGUGGCGAAGGCGGGCUGCUGGACAGCAACUGACGGUGAGGCACGAAAGCGUGGGGAGCGAACAGGAUUAGAUACCCGGGUAGUC
RNAcentral lists this ribosomal RNA (440 nucleotides) under uncultured bacterium. Its description in RNAcentral is "partial 16S ribosomal RNA". It matches the Rfam family "Bacterial small subunit ribosomal RNA", at positions 338 to 795 of the family's 1533-position model. The record is from RNAcentral.